AUUGAACGCUGGCGGCAGGCUUAACACAUGCAAGUCGAGCGGGGUGAUGGUGCUUGCACUAUCACUUAGCGGCAGACGGGUGAGUAAUGCUUAGGAAUCUGCCUAUUAGUGGGGGACAACAUCUCGAAAGGGAUGCUAAUACCGCAUACGUCCUACGGGAGAAAGCAGGGGAUCACUUGUGACCUUGCGCUAAUAGAUGAGCCUAAGUCGGAUUAGCUAGUUGGUGGGGUAAAGGCCUACCAAAGCGACGAUCUGUAGCGGGUCUGAGAGGAUGAUCCGCCACACUGGGACUGAGACACGGCCCAGACUCCUACGGGAGGCAGCAGCGGGGAAUAUUGGACAAUGGGGGGAACCCUGAUCCAGCCAUGCCGCGUGUGUGAAGGAGGCCUUAUGGUUGUAAGGCACUUUAAGCGAGGAGGAGGCUCUUUUGGUUAAUACCCAAGAUGAGUGGACGUUACUCGCAGAAUAAGCACCGGCUAACUCUGUGCCAGCCGCCGCGGUAA
This 503-nucleotide ribosomal RNA is filed under the name uncultured bacterium. Its description in RNAcentral is "partial 16S ribosomal RNA". It matches the Rfam family "Bacterial small subunit ribosomal RNA", at positions 30 to 523 of the family's 1533-position model. The record is from RNAcentral.